UUCCUAGCUUCGGGUGGACAUAUACUAAAAUAGGAACGAUACAGCGAAAAUUAGCAUGGCUCCUGCGCAAGAAAGACAAUCGUAGAUAAGACAUAGCAACGCCUAAA
RNAcentral lists this small nuclear RNA (107 nucleotides) under Anopheles melas. The record is from RNAcentral. Lineage: Eukaryota; Metazoa; Arthropoda; Insecta; Diptera; Culicidae.